RNAcentral lists this RNase P RNA (524 nucleotides) under Pseudomonadota bacterium. RNAcentral's name for it is "RNase P RNA component class A". It matches the Rfam family "Bacterial RNase P class A". From Rfam's summary of the family: Ribonuclease P (RNase P) is a ubiquitous endoribonuclease, found in archaea, bacteria and eukarya as well as chloroplasts and mitochondria. Its best characterised activity is the generation of mature 5'-ends of tRNAs by cleaving the 5'-leader elements of precursor-tRNAs. Lineage: Bacteria; Pseudomonadati; Pseudomonadota. The record is from RNAcentral.
GGAGUCGGCCGGACAGUCGCCCGGCUACUCAUUCGGAAUAGGCUUGAACGAUUGUAUCAUUUUCAGUCAUCGAGCCGGACGAAUGAACGGCCGAGAGGAAAGUCCGGGCUCCACAGGGCAAGGUGCCAGGUAACGCCUGGGGGGCGCGAGCCCACGGAAAGUGCCACAGAAAAGAUACCGCCCCGCUACUAUCCUUAGCAGGAUCAGUGAGAUCUGCCACUGCUUUGUUUAGGCUUAGGAAGUGCUUACUGGUCCAGCGAAGGAUAGUAGCGGGGUAAGGGUGAAAAGGUGCGGUAAGAGCGCACCGCGCCGGCGGUAACGUCGGUGGCAGGCAAAACCCCGCACGGAGCAAGACCAAAUAGGGUGACGCUGGCAUCCCAACGCGCAAGCGUGCGCGGUGGGAACCCGCCAAUCGGACGGCCCGUCCGAGGUCACCGGGUAGGUCGCUUAGAGGUGCGCGGCGACGGGCAUCCUAGAUGAAUGACUGUCCUCGACAGAACCCGGCUUACAGGCCGGCUCCCGUC